This 4600-nucleotide long non-coding RNA is filed under the name Homo sapiens (human). RNAcentral describes it as "HSALNT0295058". The record is from RNAcentral. Lineage: Eukaryota; Metazoa; Chordata; Mammalia; Primates; Hominidae.
UCCUCAGGGAUCUAGAACUAGAAAUACCAUUUGAGCCAGCCAUCCCAUUACUGGGUAUAUACCCAAAGGACUAUAAAGCAACUGCUUUCUAAGUGGGAUGGCUGAAGCAAGAGACCUUAAAUCACUUGACCGUCUUCACAAAACAGAACUGAAGCAGAACCAGAAGUCCCCUGAUAGCCUUUCAGGGACACCACCUACAAAUACACCGUAAUCCCUCAUACUCCACACGCCACUUCAGGGAAAGGGACAUGAGGCAGGAAUACAAAUAUAUACCAUCUGUGACACUUCCUAAGCUCCUGGCUUCAGAGUAGCCAUCCUGAUAAUUAUUAUUUAAAGUCCACAUUAUAAAUGUGCAAGUUAAGUGAGUUAUGGAAAUCAUUCCAGAUACUGGUUCACCAGUAACAUCAGUUUAGCCCUAAAUAUUGUCAUAAGUUCUCUGAUAGGCGCAUGUGAUUUAAGCUGGUGCUCUGUCAAGACUAGACUUAGGCGUUUUAUCCUUUUUAUGACAUUAUGUAUGUUGAAGAGAAUAUAUGAAUAUAUAUAAAACCUUCAUUAUCACAUUAUUCUCAAUCCAGCAUUUUCCCAGCCCCUGAUUUUCAUGUUAGUUCAGCAUUCUUACAUCUUUACAGAUUUUCAUCUAAGACUACAUUUCUACUGUUUUAUAUAAUCAGCCCCCCUAAGAUCAACAUGUCCACAUUUUUUGGCAAAGACAAAGCCUACUGAUUUCAGAAUCAUUAUUUUCCUUUUUCAAAAGCACAAACCCAAACUGAGAAAUAAAUCAAGAGAAAUUCUCCUUUUUUCUAUGCUAAUUUAGAAGUGGAGUCUUUAUUUCUUUUCAAACCCAAAGAGAAUCAGACAUACAAUAUGAAUUUAUCUACUUUCACUUGCUCAGACUGAGAGGAAAGAUUAAUAUUUUCAGGCUGUUAGUCAAAACUGUUCAUUCAAAUAUUAUUUAAUAAAAUCCAAGAACCAGCUAAAAAGUCGCUUAAGCUAAGAAACCUUCACCAGCCUCAUGGGAAAUUGUGUACAGUUUUCCACUAGAAUAGCCUAUAAAUGCUUACUGAAAAUGUCUAAGUUCAUAUCUUGGUAACUAACAUUUUAAUUCAAUCUGCAGAAUAAUAUAUGCUUCUUUAGUGCUAAGAUAUGAAUAUUAGAGGCAUUCUUUCUUAAAAUUUCUAUUUAGUUAUACUUUCACAAAUAACUAUAUAAUAUUAAAAUUCUGCAUGUGGCAUAAAACAUAUUUUAAUGGAGAAGGUAAUGUGUAGGGAGUUUAUUUCUGUUUGCUAUUAGAACUAGUGUUUAUUCUUGGUUAAAAAAACUGCAGAUUACAACAUAGAAAAAAACAAAAGUAUGUUGUAUAUCUCUUACAGUAGAAGAUAAAGAGUAGUUCUAAAUUUAGAAAGGAAAAAUAAAUAUACACAGUGAAAAUAUGUGUCAGUGAGAUGUUAAUCAAAGAUCAACUAUUGCUGAGACCAGCAAUAUUAAAUCCCUGCACAAUUACUCAUAUUAUAAUGAGAAUUUUAAAAAGAAAAUAUGAACACAUAACAUAAUGAAGGCAGAAGUCACUCUCAUCCUUCAUCUUUGUAUUCCCAAUUCAGGAAGCUGGUAUAGUAUCUUCAUUAUAAUUACUAUUCAACAAACAUUUGUAAAAUGAAUGAAUAAGGAAUGAAUGAUGAGAAAAAUGAUAAACAUCUCCCUCUGUCUCCUGGGAGUUAACUGCACUACUUUCUUUUAAAUUUAAUUAAUCCUCCAUGUCCUUGUAAAAUAGCCAAAGGGAAAAUGUAUUUACAUUACUCUAAAUAUUGAUGCAAUCUACAAAAAGUGUUAAACAACUUCCUCAAAGUAAAUAAAAUGUUCACAAUCCAGCUAGGAUAAAAGGAUUUAAAUCAUUUCCUAGGUAGAGGGCUUUCAAUUAGAGCCCCUGCUGCAUUAAUCAUGGGAACUCAUCUCACUCUCUUCAUGAUGGAGCCCUGAGUGUUGCUGCUAAUCUGUACUCUACCAUUCUAAUGCUUUUAAGGUUCCUUUUCAGCCCUUCCUCCUCGUAAUCCACAAAUACUGAGACCAAGGCAUUUUUUGGGUCAGUCCUAAUUUCAAGCAUUCUAUCCUGCCCUCCCCAAAUGAACUCACACUUAUUAGACCAUAUGUUCCUAUAUUAGUUCAGGAAGGGGGAAAAAAUGUUAAUCACACUUGUAUAUAAGAGAUCAUAGAAAAACAGUUUACUAACCUGUGAAAAUACCAUUCAUUCUCUGUUUACCUCUGGUCCACAGCUAAGCAAUCAGUAGGAUAUAAAUGUACCCUAUGUUCACUAUUCAGUAUUCAUAAGUAUACUACUUAUGAAUUGGAAAUCUGACACAACAUUUACAUGACCUAAUUUUGAAAAUUUAAAAUAGUGUAAAGCCCCUAGGCUUAAUUUUACAGGGGAAAGAUUAAAGGGACACAAGCAAACAUAUAUUCUCUCUCUGUGCUGUGGGACACUAGUAAUUUUUUGACUUAAAAUAUUUGAUACUUAAAAUGCCAAACUUCUACAUUUCUGCAGUAACAAGGCAGUUAUCAUAUUGAAUACCAUUUCUUUCUCUCCAGUAAGUAGAGUUAAUAUUAGCACAUGAACUGAAAAUAUUAAGUGAUUAUAAAAACGUCCAAAUAAAUUCAUUAAAAUUUAGCUUGGCAAAAUGUUAGUUUCAUGUUCUUGGUAGAAGUCCUUUUAUAUUUAUAUUCAAAUGAAAUGAACAAUUUACAAGCAAAGGAAAUGGCAUCAAAUAUUUCACACCCUGCCUCCCAAGGUGUAUUGAUUCAUGCUUUUUGCUCAGAUCUAGGUUUCUCCACUCAGGAAAAGAGGAGAAUGUACCCAUACUUGGGAAAACAAGUUUCCGAUGGCACAGCUUUGAUCAAACAGCAAAAUUCUAUCCAUCUAUGUAUUGCCAUCUGACAGUAUGACAAAUGGUCCCAUGUGCGAUAUUCACACUGCAUUGCAGUCAAACCUGCAAGCUGAAAAAGUAGAACGGGGUGUAGAGAGACAGGACAAAGUACAGAUUAGGGCUUGAAGUGCCCCUGACCAGUCGACAGCAACCACAUGGAAUAAUGACUCAUGUGCAUUAAUGAUCACACUAAAUGAUAUUUGUUUUUUACCUAGUCUUUCAACUGACAGCUUAAAGAACUUCAGGUUGUUCUGAUUCUUGAGCCUCCUCUACAGCUUCAGAGAGGACUUUCAUUUUAUUUUGGAUCAAAUGCUCCACAACUAGUUGAAACUGGAAUUAAAUUUUAUAUGAAGUUCCUAGAUGAUUUAAAGCUGUAAGAAGAAGAAUAAUGAAUCAUAAGAAAACUUGCUGCUACAGAUAUCAAAAAGGAAUGUUACCAUCCCUCAUGCUAAUCCUUUUCAUUUUAAAUAAACAGGAUCUAAAAAAAAUAAUGCUGGGAAGUCCUAACCACAUCAAGAAUGCCUCAGAUCAGUGACCCAAGGAACCUUCCAGAAUGGAUGAAAUAGACCCAAAGCUGAAUUCACCUAAUUUUAGGGCCAAAAACCCAAAAAACAAAACAAGACCAAAAAAAUCUUCAGAUACUGGGAGAACAAAUCUCAAUUGCUCAAUUGUAUCUUAUGAAAACAAUUUUUCAAAAUAAAACAAGAGAUAUUUAAGAUUCAUUAAGUUCUUGUCAUUUCAAAUUUUAAGAAAAAUAUUUUCUAAUGGAAUUACAUAUAUUUAUAUGAUUCUUCUAGUUAUAUCCAUGGUAAUAAAUACUCUUUUCAGUUGGAAAUAAAACCCAUUUGUGCUAUAUUAUUAGGGAAAAUAUCUACAUAAAUUAGUUUUUAAUUUAACUAAAGUCUAUCUUUUGAAUUCAUAAGCAUAAAAUUUUAACCACUUGCAAAAUUUAUAACACACUUAAGGUAGUCAGAUGCCUUGUCAAGUAGUUUAACAAAAGUGAUUUUCACCUGUUUGUUUUAAUAACAGUGCAUCGAUUUUAUGAAAAUCAGGCAUGCCCUCGGGUCCUAACAAAGUAUACGAAGCUGAAUGGAUCUAUGCCAAAUAUGCCAGAUUUUACUUUCUGAGUCUGAUUUUAUACUUCUGUCCUCUUUCUUACCACAUGGCUUCCAGUAUCACUUACAGACUAACCCUUCAAAAGGAGAAGGCUAAGUUACUAACAUUUGGAAGGCUUAUGAAAGUGAAGCAUAGUUAUGAGCCAGCAAUGUUUUUAUUUAUGGAAUGUGUGCAAACCACACACUUAAGCAAGCUCUGGGGAAUGAGAGUUGGGGGGAAUCAACUGUUUUAUUUGCUAAUUGGUAUUUCCUUUAAAAGAUAGAGUUCUUCCAGAUUUUAACUGUGUUAAUAGUUACUCUAGAAAAAUUGGAGAUUUGUGUGCAUAUAUUUUAUGUUGUAAACAGACACAUACCCAGAGACACUGAGAGAGACAGACAGACAGUAAACAGAGGAGCACUAACCACAAACGGUUUACAAAUGACCUCUGUGCUCAUUCACCUGUCUGUUCCCCACCUUGCCUUUUAUAGCAACUAUAGCAACAGCCAUGAGAGUCAUUGUGGAAAGAAAUAAAAUAAAAUUAAAAAAUCCUGGAAGCUUGUAAAGAAUGUGAGCAAAGGGGAGGAAGUUGU